GUUACUGGUAGCUGAACACAAGUUCUAAACCAUUGGUGGGAAAACAAGUUAUAGAAACUGAGCUUGGAAAAAACACAGCUGGCCUGAGAUGAAAUACCUGCAGUAACCCUUGUUUUUCGUGUGCCCACAAGUUUGGUUGUUUACUAUUUGGUUGUUUGGUUGUUUACAAUUGAACAGGUAUGGUCUAAAUCAUGUUUCUUAGGGUAUCAACAAGUUGAUGAUGUUUUCUGUAGUUUUGUUCCCGGUGGAGGAUGACUGUGUAGCAGUAGUUCCACGCCAGGAUGGAGCAAGCACAGUACUACAGGGAACCAGAGAGGUACUCCGCGCCACCAUGUCGAGGAUGGCUACAUAGGGCAAGAAGGCAGAGGUAGGCGGACAUUUUAGCUCUGCACAUGAAUAAGAUCAAGUGGCUGACUGAAGAGAAAGUCGAGGUGAGGGCACAGCUGGCUCUACAAUCAGGAGCCAUAAGGAAGAAUCUUUCCAACUGGGAUGCCACUGAUGAGGCUGUCCAGAACCAGGUCCCCAGGUACCAGAAAGGGGCAGCUGACCAUGCAGGUGGGUGAUGUUGCGGCGUUUCAAGGGACCUGCCGUGAAUAUGAAUGACAUCUCCAGC
This is a long non-coding RNA of Esox lucius (northern pike), 613 nucleotides long. Lineage: Eukaryota; Metazoa; Chordata; Actinopteri; Esociformes; Esocidae. The record is from Ensembl.